RNAcentral lists this long non-coding RNA (541 nucleotides) under Marmota monax (woodchuck). The record is from RNAcentral. Lineage: Eukaryota; Metazoa; Chordata; Mammalia; Rodentia; Sciuridae.
UAGAAACUUUCAAACAAUAUAUAGAUGGAACUUAAAGUUUAUAUUUUUAAAAAUAAUUUUGUGUUUAUUUAUUUUGGUGGUUUCUGUAUACUAUUUUUUAAUUUAGCUUUUUGGUUUGAGAAAGGUGUAGUUUCACAUGCAAUAAAAAGAAAUAAUACAGAGCUAUGCCAUGUAUCUAUUUCCUAGUUUCCUCCAAUGAGAGUACCACCAAGAUGCUGAUGUUAAUACAAUCAAGAUAUGGAACAUUUCCAGUACCGCAAAGAUCUCUCAUGUUGCCUUUACAGGCAUAUCAAUUUCUCACUUUCCUCAUUCCCAUUUAACUCAUGGCAACCAAUAAUGUGUUCUCUAUAGUUUUGUCAUUCCAAGGAUAUUAUACACUAGUACUCCCAAAUUAUGGUUUUGAUUUCCAUGGUUUCAGUUACUCAUGGUCAACCAUGGUUUGAAAAUAUUAAAUGAAAUUUUCACAAUAAACUUUUAAUUAUAUGCCAUUAUGAAUAGUGUGAUGAAAUCUUGUGCCAUCCUGCUGCAUCCCACACAGGAC